ACAAGCGGUGGAGUAUGUGGUUUAAUUCGAUGCAACGCGAAGAACCUUACCUGGUCUUGACAUCCCGGAGACCCUUAGGAAACUAGGGGUGCUUCCAUCUGGAAGAAUCUGGAGACAGGUGCUGCAUGGCUGUCGUCAGCUCGUGUCGUGAGAUGUUGGGUUAAGUCCCGCAACGAGCGCAACCCUUGCCUUUAGUUGCCAGCAGUUCGGCUGGGCACUCUAAAGGGACUGCCGGUGUUAAACCGGAGGAAGGUGGGGAUGACGUCAAGUCCUCAUGGCCUUUAUGACCAGGGCUACACACGUACUACAAUGGCCGAUACAAAGGGCAGCGACACUGCGAGGUGAAGCCAAUCCCGUAAAAUCGGUCUCAGUCCGGAUUGGAGUCUGCAACUCGACUCCAUGAAGUUGGAAUCGCUAGUAAUCGUGGGUCAGCAUGCCACGGUGAAUACGUUCCCGGGCCUU
Molecule: ribosomal RNA, 462 nt
Filed under: uncultured Desulfobulbus sp.
Lineage: Bacteria; Pseudomonadati; Thermodesulfobacteriota; Desulfobulbia; Desulfobulbales; Desulfobulbaceae
Description: bacterial SSU rRNA
Rfam family: Bacterial small subunit ribosomal RNA
Source: RNAcentral